AGGAGGCAGCAGUGAGGAAUCUUCCGCAAUGGGCGCAAGCCUGACGCAGCGAUGCCGCGUGAGCGAGGAAGGCCUUCGGGUUGUAAAGCCCUGUUGUCAGGGAAGAACAAGUACCGUUCGAUAAGGGCGGUACCUUGACGGUACCUGACGAGAAAGCCCCGGCUAACUACGUGCCAGCAGCCGCGGUAAUACGUAGGGGGCGAGCGUUGUCCGGAAUCACUGGGCGUAAAGCGCGCGCAGGCGGCUUCUUAAGUCUGGUGUGAAAGCCCACGGCUCAACCGUGGAGAUGCACUGGAAACUGGGGAGCUUGAGUGCAGGAGAGGGAAGCGGAAUUCCACGUGUAGCGGUGAAAUGCGUAGAGAUGUGGAGGAACACCAGUGGCGAAGGCGGCUUCCUGGCCUGUAACUGACGCUGAGGCGCGAAAGCGUGGGGAGCGAACAGGAUUAGAUACCCCAGUA
RNAcentral lists this ribosomal RNA (458 nucleotides) under uncultured bacterium. Its description in RNAcentral is "bacterial SSU rRNA". It matches the Rfam family "Bacterial small subunit ribosomal RNA", at positions 343 to 792 of the family's 1533-position model. The record is from RNAcentral.